RNAcentral lists this long non-coding RNA (859 nucleotides) under Salmo salar (Atlantic salmon). Its description in RNAcentral is "lncRNA (ENSSSAG00000109810.1)". Lineage: Eukaryota; Metazoa; Chordata; Actinopteri; Salmoniformes; Salmonidae. The record is from RNAcentral.
CGCGCGUGGGGAGAGUUUCACUGAUAUGGAUGUUGACUUGUUAAAAUCCAUCAAUGAAAGGCUUGUCAAACUUGAUAUAUUGGAUAUGUUACGAGAGGACAUCAAUGCAUUAUGUGCCAGUCUAGAAUUCAGCCAACGUCAGAUCGAUGAUCUAAGGAAACAGAAGACGGAGCUGAAAGGUACUGUAGACUCUAUUCAUAGCAAGGUGGAGGUGGUACAAAGGGAUGAAAGGUAAUGUAGUCUCUAUUCAUAGCAAGGUGGAGGUGGUACAAAGGGAUGAAAGGUACUGUAGUCUCUAUUCAUAGCAAGGUGGAGGUGGUACAAAGGGAUGAAAGUUACUGUAGUCUCUAUUCAUAGCAAGGUGGAGGUGGUGCAAAGGGAUGAAAGGUAAUGUAGUCUCUAUUCAUAGCAAGGUGGAGGUGGUGCAAAGGGAUGAAAGGUGCUGUAGACUCUAUUCAUAGCAAGGUGGAGGUGGUGCAAAGGGAUGAAAGGUAAUGUAGUCUCUAUUCAUAGCAAGGUGGAGGUGGUGCAAAGGGAUGAAAGGUACUGUAGUCUCUAUUUAUAGCAAGGUGGAGGUGGUACAAAGGAAGAACAAACAAGUUAAAGAAACCUUGCUUGAUGUACAGUGUCGAUCAAUGCGUGACAAUCUAAUCUUUUCAGGGAUACCAGAGAAUGACAACAGCAGAAGCUGUGAGGACAGUGUUCAAGCUUUUAUGUCAACUUUACUGUGAGGGAAAAAAGUAUUUGAUCCCCUGCUGAUUUUGAACGUUUGCCCACUGACAAAGAAAUUAUCAGUCUAUAAUUUUAAUGGUAGGUUUAUUUGAACAGUGAGAGACAGAAUAACAACAACAAAAAAUCC